RNAcentral lists this ribosomal RNA (533 nucleotides) under uncultured bacterium. Its description in RNAcentral is "partial 16S ribosomal RNA". It matches the Rfam family "Bacterial small subunit ribosomal RNA", at positions 30 to 543 of the family's 1533-position model. The record is from RNAcentral.
AGUGAACGCUGGCGGUAGGCCUAACACAUGCAAGUCGAACGGCAGCACAGUAAGAGCUUGCUCUUACGGGUGGCGAGUGGCGGACGGGUGAGGAAUACAUCGGAAUCUACUUUUUCGUGGGGGAUAACGUAGGGAAACUUACGCUAAUACCGCAUACGACCUACGGGUGAAAGCAGGGGAUCUUCGGACCUUGCGCGAUUGAAUGAGCCGAUGUCGGAUUAGCUAGUUGGCGGGGUAAAGGCCCACCAAGGCGACGAUCCGUAGCUGGUCUGAGAGGAUGGACAGCCAGGAUGGAGCAGAGGAGCGGCACUGCGUAGAGGGGGAGGCAGAAGGGGGGCAGAUUCGGGGAGGGGGGGAAGGAGGGAGCAGCACGCGCGGGGGGUGGAAGAAGGCGUUGGGUGCGUCAACAACUUUUGUGAGGAGAAAAAAGCAGCGGUUUGAUACGCAGCUGUUCUGAAGGUACCAAAAAAAUAGGCGCCGGGUAACAUCGUGCCAGCGGCCGCGGUAAGACGGGGGACAGGAUACGUUAAACC